CUCUCUAUCCCUUCCUCCUCUCCUUCCCCUCUCUACUCUCAUUUUCAACAUGCAAAACACGAAGCUGCAGCUCCCAACCACCAGCCAUCCUGCAGCCCCCUCUCCAUCGAUCUUCUCUGCUCAAAUUAAACCACUUCCUUCCUACCUUCCCCAAUUUAGUCAAUGGCGGGCUGCAGCCUGUUGGAGCGCAGGCGGCCGCUGCGGGGCUAGCGGCAGGCUCCAUGGUCCAGUGAGUCCAGAUUGAGGACACGUUCCUAGCCGCAAGAAGAUUAAUUCGGUGGCCGGCCAGCUCCGACGUCCCCGCAGGCGGUGGUAGGACACGGGCGAGCGGACGGGCGGCGCUACGCUGCGGGCACGAACGGCCAGCAUCAAGGCAACGGGUGAGGAGCUUUGUGCCGUCGGGGCCGGCCGGGGCGGACGUGGGCAGGACGCACGUGAGCGUUUCGCGGCGGUGAGCCAGAGCAGCCGUGCGCGAGUCGCGGCCUCCGGCGAGUCCGGGCGCCGAGAUCUCCAGCGCGGGCGGCGGCCUCCGACGACUGCGAGCACCAAGCUCUCUAGCGCGGGCGGCAGCGUCAAGCUCCCUGGCUCAGUGCGGCAGUCUCCAGCAGUGGGGUCGUCUGCCCCCGCACAAAUAGGGCGGGUAGUUAGUUUUUUUUAUACUUAGAAGUGAAUUUAUUUGAUCUUAUUUUUACUUUUUAAUUCUCAUUGUAAUUAGACAAUUUAUCAACUUCUUUUAUCAUCA
This is a long non-coding RNA of Setaria italica (foxtail millet), 742 nucleotides long. RefSeq lists it as uncharacterized. The transcript has 2 exons. The record is from RefSeq and is a predicted model, not a curated record. Lineage: Eukaryota; Viridiplantae; Streptophyta; Magnoliopsida; Poales; Poaceae.